GACGAACGCUGGCGGCGUGCUUAACACAUGCAAGUCGAACGGAAAGGCCCUGCUUUUGUGGGGUGCUCGAGUGGCGAACGGGUGAGUAACACGUGAGUAACCUGCCCUUGACUUUGGGAUAACUUCAGGAAACUGGGGCUAAUACCGGAUAGGAGCUCCUGCUGCAUGGUGGGGGUUGGAAAGUUUCGGCGGUUGGGGAUGGACUCGCGGCUUAUCAGCUUGUUGGUGGGGUAGUGGCUUACCAAGGGUUUGACGGGUAGCCGGCCUGAGAGGGUGACCGGCCACAUUGGGACUGAGAUACGGCCCAGACUCCUACGGGAGGCAGAAGGGGGGAAUAUUGCACAAUGGGCGGAAGCCUGAUGCAGCAACGCCGCGUGCGGGAUGACGGCCUUCGGGUUGUAAACCGCUUUCGCCUGUGACGAAGCGUGAGUGACGGUAAUGGGUAAAGAAGCACCGGCUAACUACGUG
This 468-nucleotide ribosomal RNA is filed under the name uncultured bacterium. RNAcentral's name for it is "partial 16S ribosomal RNA". It matches the Rfam family "Bacterial small subunit ribosomal RNA", at positions 28 to 507 of the family's 1533-position model. The record is from RNAcentral.